This 210-nucleotide ribosomal RNA is filed under the name uncultured prokaryote. RNAcentral's name for it is "partial 16S ribosomal RNA". It matches the Rfam family "Bacterial small subunit ribosomal RNA", at positions 525 to 734 of the family's 1533-position model. The record is from RNAcentral.
ACGAAGGGGGCGAGCGUUGUUCGGAUUUACUGGGCGUAAAGGGCGCGCAGGCGGUUCUGUUUGUCGAGUGUGAAAGCCCCGGGCUCAACCUGGGAACUGCGCUCGAAACGGCGGAACUAGAGUUCGGGAGAGGAGAGUGGAAUUCCCAGUGUAGAGGUGAAAUUCGUAGAGAUGUGGAGGAACACCAGUGGCGAAGGCGACUUUCUGGUC